UUUCUUUGACUCCUUGACACAAUAAAAAAAGGCUUAAAGAUUUUUUCCACUGGAACUUACAUAUAUCCUGGAGUUAAUGUGUGUAUCUGAGGAAGAGAAGAACUUGAUCUAAGUGGUUACUUUUACUGUUUUGGAUUCUUAUACAUUACAAAUUGUCCAUAUCGAAGAAUCUGGAUUGAUUUAAUCAUCACAGGCAAGGUUACACAGAGUAUCCUCAGUACGUGUCCAUCAUCAUAUCUUUAUGGAGAUCAGUGCCCUCAUACUGAUUUACAUCAGCCCAGGGUUUACCUGGUAACUUCAGACCCUAGCUCUCUCAUGCUGUACGCUUCUUACCAGGUGAGAGGUGGCAAGAGAUUCUGUCAUUGCCCUUGCCCUUUAUGGUGGUGUUGGUGCCUCCGUUGCCAGCACAAGACUGGACCUGUUUCUGUGCUUGGGGAACGCAGAGGGCUGCCAAGAGCUGAUGACUGCCAAGGAUAACUGAUUACUAGGAAUGCAAUGAGGAAGUUUCUUGAUGGAAAUUCCUUUGCUUUGGAGUGGCUAGCUGUACCAGUGCUUUGAACUCUGUGCCUCAGCAGCAACUCACACAGAAAUGGCACUUUAGAAACCUGUGCUGGCUUGUGCUCUUCCUCUUCCCCCUGGAUCUAUCAGGAAAAAACUUUCUCAU
Long non-coding RNA from Strigops habroptila (Kakapo), 664 nucleotides. RefSeq lists it as uncharacterized. The record is from RefSeq and is a predicted model, not a curated record. The transcript has 4 exons. NCBI's taxonomy places the organism in Eukaryota, Metazoa, Chordata, Aves, Psittaciformes, Psittacidae.